CAUCUCUCUCUCUCUCUCAACCGCAAGAGCAAGAGAACAGAACAACUCAGAAGCAGAGCCCAAACGCAAAGUCUGUUAGCAAGCAAUUCAUGUGGGGCGAUCUCUACCUCUAAUCAGUUAUCACAUAAUUGAGCCCCAAAUUUGUAGACACCCCACGCUGCAUCAAUCACUGACUGUAGUUAUAUUUCGUCCUCAGGAGGCAGUUAAAUGAUUUGAGUUGUGGCUUGGGCCCAGUUCUGCGAAUUUGACGAGCUAAGAUUAUAGAAUUUAGACUUCAAAUAACUGAGAGUCACGGGAACAAGUUUUGUUAGAGGCUCCUUCAGGACAGUGGAUAAUUAUAAGUCCCAUUCUCCCAGUGUCAGAAAGAAUCUUGAACUGAAGGUGAUGGGAUAACAUGGUAAUCAACCUUGUUACGUAGUACAUAAUAAGCCCCACUUUCUUAUACUCA
Molecule: non-coding RNA, 448 nt
Organism: Nelumbo nucifera (sacred lotus)
Lineage: Eukaryota; Viridiplantae; Streptophyta; Magnoliopsida; Proteales; Nelumbonaceae
Source: RefSeq, a predicted model, not a curated record